Molecule: small RNA, 481 nt
Filed under: Pongo abelii (Sumatran orangutan)
Lineage: Eukaryota; Metazoa; Chordata; Mammalia; Primates; Hominidae
Description: processed transcript
Source: RNAcentral
AAGUGGGGCAGGGAGCCAGGUUAGCACAGCAAGUAAAAGGCGUGGGCGGGCUGAAGGGACUCCCCUCCAGGAAUCCCUCAUCGAACUCAGCGACAGCAGCCUCAACAAGAUGGCCACCGACAUGUUCCUAGCUGUGCGGGGACCAUGAGGUCAUGCGGGAUGAAUGUUACUGCCAAGUUGUGAAGCAGAUCACAGACAAUACCAGCUCCAAGCAGGACAGCUGCCAGCGAGGCUGGAGGCUGCUGUAUAUCGUGACUGCCUACCACAGCUGCUCUGAGGUCCUCCACCCACACCUCACUCGCUUCCUCCAAGACAUGAGCCGGACCCCAGGCCUGCCCUUUCAGGGGAUCGCCAAGGCCUGUGAGCAGAACCUGCAGAAAACCUUGCGCUUUGGAGGUCGUCUGGAGCUCCCCAGCAGCAUAGAGCUUCGGGCCAUGUUGGCAGGCCGCAGUUCCAAGAGGCAACUCUUUCUUCUUCCUGG